Molecule: ribosomal RNA, 475 nt
Filed under: uncultured bacterium
Lineage: Bacteria
Description: SSU rRNA
Rfam family: Bacterial small subunit ribosomal RNA
Source: RNAcentral
AGGACGAACGCUGGCGGCGUGCCUAACACAUGCAAGUCGAACGGGGGUAGCAAUACCCUAGUGGCGAACGGGUGCGUAACACGUGAAGAACUUGUCCAUCGGCGGGGGAUAGCCGGCCCAACGGCCGGGUAAUACCGCGUACGCUUGUCGAGUGGCAUCACUUGACAAGGAAAGCAGCAAUGCACCGAUGGAGAGCUUCGCGGCCUAUCAGCUUGUUGGUGGGGUGAUGGCCUACCAAGGCGACGACGGGUAGCCGGCCUGAGAGGGCGACCGGCCACACUGGGACUGAGACACGGCCCAGACUCCUACGGGAGGCAGCAGUGGGGAAUAUUGCACAAUGGGCGGAAGCCUGAUGCAGCGACGCCGCGUGAGGGAUGAAGGCCUUCGGGUUGUAACCUCUUUCGACAGGGACGAAGCGCAAGUGACGGUACCUGGAGAAGAAGCGCCGGCCAACUACGCGCCAGCACCGCGGUAA